GUAGGUGGCAAGCGUUGUCCGGAAUUAUUGGGCGUAAAGCGCGCGCAGGCGGUCCUUUAAGUCUGAUGUGAAAGCCCACGGGCUCAACCGUGGAGGGUCAUUGGAAACUGGGGGACUUGAGUACAGAAGAGGAAAGCGGAAUUCCAAGUGUAGCGGUGAAAUGCGUAGAGAUUUGGAGGAACACCAGUGGCGAAGGCGGCUUUCUGGUCUGUAACUGACGCUGAGGCGCGAAAGCGUGGGGAGCAAACAGGAUUAGAUACCCUGGUAGUCCACGCCGUAAACGAUGAGUGCUAGGUGUUAGGGGGUUUCCGCCCCUUAGUGCUGCAGCUAACGCAUUAAGCACUCCGCCUGGGGAGUACGGCCGCAAAGGCUGA
Molecule: ribosomal RNA, 374 nt
Filed under: uncultured organism
Description: partial 16S ribosomal RNA
Rfam family: Bacterial small subunit ribosomal RNA
Source: RNAcentral